AACGCGAAGAACCUUACCUACCUUUGACAUCCUCAGAAUAUUUAAGAAAUUAGAUAGUGCCGCAAGGAACUGAGAGACAGGUGCUGCAUGGCUGUCGUCAGCUCGUGUCGUGAGAUGUUGGGUUAAGUCCCGUAACGAGCGCAACCCCUAUAUUUAAUUGCUAGUAAUGAAAAUUAAGUACAUUAAAUAGACUGCCGGUGAUAAACCGGAGGAAGGUGGGGAUGACGUCAAGUCCUCAUGGCCCUUAUAGGUAGGGCUACACACGUGCUACAAUGGGCAGUACAGAGGGAAGCAAAGUCGCGAGACCAAGCAAACCUCAGAAAGCUGCUCGUAGUCCGGAUUGGAGUCUGCAACUCGACUCCAUGAAGUUGGAAUCGCUAGUAAUCGCGGAUCAGAACGCUGCGGUGAAUACGUUCCCGGGCCUUGUACACACCGGCUAC
This 440-nucleotide ribosomal RNA is filed under the name uncultured bacterium. RNAcentral describes it as "bacterial SSU rRNA". It matches the Rfam family "Bacterial small subunit ribosomal RNA", at positions 958 to 1397 of the family's 1533-position model. The record is from RNAcentral.